This 723-nucleotide ribosomal RNA is filed under the name Fermentozyma sake. Its description in RNAcentral is "LSU rRNA". It matches the Rfam family "Eukaryotic large subunit ribosomal RNA", at positions 84 to 835 of the family's 3401-position model. The record is from RNAcentral. Lineage: Eukaryota; Fungi; Ascomycota; Pichiomycetes; Serinales; Debaryomycetaceae.
UAACGGCGAGUGAAGCGGCAAAAGCUCAAAUUUGAAAUCUGCGUAAGCCGAGUUGUAAUUUGAAGAUGGCUACUUUGGUAAUGGCUCUUGUCUAUGUUCCUUGGAACAGGACGUCACAGAGGGUGAGAAUCCCGUGCGAUGAGAUGUCCAUUACCGUGUAAAGUGCUUUCGAAGAGUCGAGUUGUUUGGGAAUGCAGCUCUAAGUGGGUGGUAAAUUCCAUCUAAAGCUAAAUAUUGGCGAGAGACCGAUAGCGAACAAGUACAGUGAUGGAAAGAUGAAAAGAACUUUGAAAAGAGAGUGAAAAAGUACGUGAAAUUGUUGAAAGGGAAGGGCUUGAGAUCAGACUUGGUAUUUUGUAUGGCUUGCUUUCGGGCGGGUCCUCUGCAGUUUACUGGGCCAGCAUCGGUUUGGGUGGCAGGAUAAUAGCAUAGGAAUGUGGCUCUACUUCGGUGGAGUGUUAUAGCCUUUGUUGAUACUGCCUGCCUAGACCGAGGACUGCGUCUUUUGACUAGGAUGCUGGCAUAAUGAUCCUAAGCCGCCCGUCUUGAAACACGGACCAAGGAGUCUAACGUCUAUGCGAGUGUUUGGGUGUAAAACCCGUACGCGGAAUGAAAGUGAACGUAGAUGAGAGCCUUUUAGGCGCAUCAUCGACCGAUCCUGAUGUCUUCGGAUGGAUUUGAGUAAGAGCAUAGCUGUUGGGACCCGAAAGAUGGUGAACUAUG